GAAACUUCAAAAAAAUUCCAUAAAGCCCAUAUAUGUUGUCUCUUCAAUGCUCUUGUUAGUUUGUGGCUAUUAUUUUCCUUAUGCCCAAAUAAAAAGAACUUAAGAAAAUUUUGAGGACAGGAUAUUUCAAAUCACUAAGUUAGUAACAAAUGGAUGGCUGAAAAUUGAAAUCUACCCAAAAAGAAACUCACAACAAGCAUUUCAUCUCCUCUACCACACACAUAAAGUUAAGCUUUGAGGAAAAAUA
Molecule: long non-coding RNA, 247 nt
Filed under: Nicotiana benthamiana
Lineage: Eukaryota; Viridiplantae; Streptophyta; Magnoliopsida; Solanales; Solanaceae
Description: long non-coding RNA (NBEN_LNC002063)
Source: RNAcentral